RNAcentral lists this ribosomal RNA (774 nucleotides) under uncultured Neocallimastigales. RNAcentral's name for it is "partial large subunit ribosomal RNA". It matches the Rfam family "Eukaryotic large subunit ribosomal RNA", at positions 24 to 644 of the family's 3401-position model. The record is from RNAcentral. Lineage: Eukaryota; Fungi; Neocallimastigomycota; Neocallimastigomycetes; Neocallimastigales.
UAUGUGAUCGUCUCUCGCAUAUCAAUAAGCGGAGGAAAAGAAACUAACAAGGAUUCCCCUAGUAACGGCGAGUGAAGCGGGAAGAGCUCAAAUUUGAAAUCUUAAAGGGUUUCCCUUUACGAAUUGUAGUUUAAAGAAGCGUUUUCUGUUGAGGUUUUGGUAAAAGUUCUUUGGAAUAGGACAUCAUAGAGGGUGAGAAUCCCGUAUUUGACCUUUACUUUCAACUUUGUGAUACACUUUCAAAGAGUCGGAUUGUUUGGGAAUGCAGUCCAAAAUGGGUGGUAAAUUUCAUCUAAAGCUAAAUAUUGGCGAGAGACCGAUAGCGAACAAGUACCGUGAGGGAAAGAUGAAAAGAACUUUGAAAAGAGAGUUAAACAGUACGUGAAAUUGUCAAAAGGGGAAGCGUUUGACACCAGUGUUGUUUUUCUGAAAAUCAAUUAAAGAACUGUUUAUGCUAAGUUGUUUAGACUUUAUCAGCUAUCUGCUUAGUUUUGAGCUUUUCUUUAAUGCACUUUUCAGUUAACAAGUCAACAUCAAUUUCUUUUGCUGUAAAAAAGCUUGAGGAAGGUGGCUUGAGAUUCGUCUUAAGUGUUUAUAGCCUCUUGCCUAUGCAGUCGGAGAGAUUGAGGUCUGCAGCGUAGAUCCUUCGGGGCUAAAUGCAUUUGUGCUAAGUUAUAGCAUUUUAUAGACAACUUGUUGACUAUGAUUUGUCUUGUAGCUUACUCGCUUAUGUUAUUUUACCUACGCUUAGGAUGUUGAAGUCAUCGUAUCGCG